AAGAUUUCUUGGGCUGUACCUCCCAUGGUAUUCCGGAAAGCCCAUUCCUAAUUCCCAACUGAUAUCUUUCCGAAAUACAAUCGGAGGUGCAGAUACAAUAGUGGGAGUGCAGAAGAAAAUAGCCCUGCUCUAGGUAUUCGGUAAGCCUAUGACUCGCCAACAGGCCCAACGCAACGGGAACUUGGGAGUUGGGAGUUUUUGAGUAGGGAGC
This 211-nucleotide long non-coding RNA is filed under the name Glycine max (soybean). RNAcentral describes it as "long non-coding RNA (GMAX_LNC000238)". Lineage: Eukaryota; Viridiplantae; Streptophyta; Magnoliopsida; Fabales; Fabaceae. The record is from RNAcentral.